Long non-coding RNA from Oreochromis niloticus (Nile tilapia), 791 nucleotides. RefSeq lists it as uncharacterized. The record is from RefSeq and is a predicted model, not a curated record. The transcript has 3 exons. Lineage: Eukaryota; Metazoa; Chordata; Actinopteri; Cichliformes; Cichlidae.
AAAGAAAACAGUGGUGAGCAUGAAUAUCCAAACUGAUGUCAACCUGGAAAAUCCAGAUACCCAGGCCGCCGUGAUGCAACAGCUGCAAGCAACACUCGCUAAGCAGGGUGUGACUGACUUCAAACUGACAUGGACAAAACAGCCUGUGCAGAUCAGCAGGAAGAAAAUUGAUGAUGCUUGUUUGAACGUGUGAGAUCGACUUCCAGAAGACUGUGCUACAACCAAUUUAAAGGAUUACUUUAAAUUGUUCACUCUUUAAGUUUGGUAUUAGUUAAUUAUAUUAGUCUAGGUAUAAAACGACAUGUUUUGUGUGCAUUAAGUCUGAAUUGAACUUUUCUCAUUUCAGUUUUGCAUUUAAAGGUAGUAUGUUUGACACCACAGUGUAACUUUGAAGCAAUACAUCAGGGAUCCAUUUCAUUCAAAUAAUGCUGUUUUGUUAAACCUGCUGGUGUAUCUCAGUUGCUUGCAAAGUGCCCAUUAGGAGACAAGUGUGAUGUGUCUGUUUAUUGGAUUACUGAGACUGAGUUAUAUUUUUAAAUCAAAAAUCUUGUCCUAAACCUAACCAGAUUGUUUGUUGUGUACAAAUCCAACCAGUCGAAGUAAAAGAAGCAAGCAUAAGUUAAUGGAAAGAACUGGCUAGUAUCUGACAAAAUUACUUUGAAACCCCAGGAAGAGAACACUUCAGCAUGAAAUAACAACUUAGUUAUGUAGAUAUAUUAUGUCCUCAUCCAAUGUCCAGCCACACCUUAUCAUACUCUGUGUAUCUAUCGGACUUUUCCAAAUACAUGAUU